UCACAUAUAGCUAUAUUUUUAUCCGGCGGGAGCUGAGUGUUUAUCCAUAUAGAGUCACAGAAGCCUACAUUGGUAGCCCACUGUAAGCCUUCUCAUACUCUAUAAAGCCUUUACUUUCAUAUUUUCACACACUGUUAUACACAUUGAGAGUCAUGUUGUGUGCGUAUGCCCGGACUUCGGUCUGUGGUUUUCAUUUUUGUCUGUAUAUAUAUACUUAUAUAUGUAUAUAUUUCAUAUAUGGACUAACAUUAUCGAGUUAUGCCUCGAUUGAG
RNAcentral lists this long non-coding RNA (272 nucleotides) under Panax ginseng (ginseng). RNAcentral's name for it is "long non-coding RNA (PGIN_LNC012227)". Lineage: Eukaryota; Viridiplantae; Streptophyta; Magnoliopsida; Apiales; Araliaceae. The record is from RNAcentral.